UACGUAGGGGGCGAGCGUUGUCCGAAGUUACUGGGCGUAAAGCGCGCGUAGGCGGGUUAUUAAGUUGGAUGUGAAAUCUCCACGGCUCAACCGGGAAACCGCAUCCAAAACUGGUAGCCUUGAGGUAUGGAGAGGGAAGUGGAAUUCCUGGUGUAGCGGUGAAAUGCGUAGAUAUCAGGAGGAACACCCGUGGCGAAGGCGGCUUCCUGGCCAUAUCCUGACGCUGAGGUGCGAAAGCCAGGGGAGCGAACGGG
This 254-nucleotide ribosomal RNA is filed under the name uncultured bacterium. Its description in RNAcentral is "partial 16S ribosomal RNA". It matches the Rfam family "Bacterial small subunit ribosomal RNA", at positions 524 to 776 of the family's 1533-position model. The record is from RNAcentral.